This 460-nucleotide ribosomal RNA is filed under the name uncultured bacterium. RNAcentral describes it as "partial 16S ribosomal RNA". It matches the Rfam family "Bacterial small subunit ribosomal RNA", at positions 338 to 795 of the family's 1533-position model. The record is from RNAcentral.
CCUACGGGUGGCUGCAGUGAGGAAUAUUGGUCAAUGGGCGGGAGCCUGAACCAGCCAAGUCGCGUGAGGGAUGACGGCCCUAUGGGUUGUAAACCUCUUUUGCCGGGGAGCAAAGUUCCGCACGUGUGCGGUUUGGAGAGUACCCGGAGAAAAAGCAUCGGCUAACUCCGUGCCAGCAGCCGCGGUAAUACGGAGGAUGCGAGCGUUAUCCGGAUUUAUUGGGUUUAAAGGGUGCGUAGGUGGUUAAUUAAGUCAGCGGUGAAAGUUUGUGGCUCAACCAUAAAAUUGCCGUUGAAACUGGUUGACUUGAGUAUAUUUGAGGUAGGCGGAAUGCGUGGUGUAGCGGUGAAAUGCAUAGAUAUCACGCAGAACUCCGAUUGCGAAGGCAGCUUACUAAACUAUAACUGACACUGAAGCACGAAAGCGUGGGGAUCAAACAGGAUUAGAUACCCGUGUAGUC